This 770-nucleotide ribosomal RNA is filed under the name Citrobacter freundii. RNAcentral describes it as "bacterial SSU rRNA". It matches the Rfam family "Bacterial small subunit ribosomal RNA", at positions 37 to 801 of the family's 1533-position model. The record is from RNAcentral. Lineage: Bacteria; Pseudomonadati; Pseudomonadota; Gammaproteobacteria; Enterobacterales; Enterobacteriaceae.
GGGUCGCGGGCUAAAACAUGCAAGUCGAACGGUAGCACAGAGAGCUUGCUCUCGGGUGACGAGUGGCGGACGGGUGAGUAAUGUCUGGGAAACUGCCUGAUGGAGGGGGAUAACUACUGGAAACGGUAGCUAAUACCGCAUAACGUCGCAAGACCAAAGAGGGGGACCUUCGGGCCUCUUGCCAUCAGAUGUGCCCAGAUGGGAUUAGCUAGUAGGUGGGGUAACGGCUCACCUAGGCGACGAUCCCUAGCUGGUCUGAGAGGAUGACCAGCCACACUGGAACUGAGACACGGUCCAGACUCCUACGGGAGGCAGCAGUGGGGAAUAUUGCACAAUGGGCGCAAGCCUGAUGCAGCCAUGCCGCGUGUAUGAAGAAGGCCUUCGGGUUGUAAAGUACUUUCAGCGGGGAGGAAGGUGUUGUGGUUAAUAACCACAGCAAUUGACGUUACCCGCAGAAGAAGCACCGGCUAACUCCGUGCCAGCAGCCGCGGUAAUACGGAGGGUGCAAGCGUUAAUCGGAAUUACUGGGCGUAAAGCGCACGCAGGCGGUCUGUCAAGUCGGAUGUGAAAUCCCCGGGCUCAACCUGGGAACUGCAUUCGAAACUGGCAGGCUGGAGUCUUGUAGAGGGGGGUAGAAUUCCAGGUGUAGCGGUGAAAUGCGUAGAGAUCUGGAGGAAUACCGGUGGCGAAGGCGGCCCCCUGGACAAAGACUGACGCUCAGGUGCGAAAGCGUGGGGAGCAAACGGAUUAAAACGCGGGGGGUCCACAAA